GAUGAACGCUGGCGGCGUGCCUAAUACAUGCAAGUCGAGCGAACAGACGCGGCGCUUGCUGCUCUGACGUUAGCGGCAGACGGGUGUGACACACGUGGAUCACCUCCCUAUAAGACUGGGAUAACUUCGGGAAACCGGAGCUAAUACCGGAUAAUAUAUUGAACCGCAUGGUGGAAUAGUGAAAGACGGUUUUGCUGUCACUUAUAGAUGGUUCCGCGCCGCAUUAGCUAGUUGGUAAGUUAACGGCUUACCAAGGCAACGAGGCGUAGCCGACGUGAGAGGGUGAUCGGCCACAUUAGAGGUUAGCCACGCUCCAGGCUCCUGCGGGAGGCAGCAGUAGGGAAUCGUCCGCAGUGGGCGAGAGCAUGGCGGAGCAACGCCGCGUGAGUGAUGAAGGUCCUCCGAUCGGAAUGAUCUCUUACGAGUGAAGAACAAAUUUGGAAGUAACUAUGCACGGAUUGACGGUACUUAAUAAGAAAGCCACGGCUAACUACGUG
RNAcentral lists this ribosomal RNA (497 nucleotides) under uncultured bacterium. RNAcentral describes it as "partial 16S ribosomal RNA". It matches the Rfam family "Bacterial small subunit ribosomal RNA", at positions 28 to 507 of the family's 1533-position model. The record is from RNAcentral.